CCUACGGGAGGCAGCAGUGGGGAAUAUUGGGCAAUGGGCGCAAGCCUGACGCAGCAACGCCGCGUGAAGGAAGAAGGCUUUCGGGUUGUAAACUUCUGUUCUCAGGGACGAAGCAAGUGACGGUACCUGAGGAAUAAGCCACGGCUAACUACGUGCCAGCAGCCGCGGUAAUACGUAGGUGACAAGCGUUAUCCGGAUUUACUGGGUGUAAAGGGCGGGUAGGCGGGACUGCAAGUCAGAUGGGAAAACCACGGGCUCAACCUGUGGCCUGCAUUUGAUACUGUAGUUCUUGAGUACUGGAGAGGCAGGCGGAAUUCCUAGUGUAGCGGUGAAAUGCGUAGAUAUUAGGAGGAACACCAGUGGCGAAGGCGGUCUGCUGGACAGCAACUGACGCUGAGGCGCGAAAGCGUGGGGAGCAAACAGGAUUAGAUACCCUUGUAGUC
This 443-nucleotide ribosomal RNA is filed under the name uncultured bacterium. RNAcentral's name for it is "partial 16S ribosomal RNA". It matches the Rfam family "Bacterial small subunit ribosomal RNA", at positions 338 to 795 of the family's 1533-position model. The record is from RNAcentral.